Molecule: ribosomal RNA, 253 nt
Filed under: uncultured bacterium
Lineage: Bacteria
Description: partial 16S ribosomal RNA
Rfam family: Bacterial small subunit ribosomal RNA
Source: RNAcentral
UACGUAGGGUGCGAGCGUUAAUCGGAAUUACUGGGCGUAAAGUGUGCGCAGGCGGCAGAGCAAGUCGAGUGUGAAAGCCCCGGGCUUAACUUGGGAAUUGCGCUCGAAACUACUUUGCUGGAGUGUGGCAGAGGAAGGUGGAAUUCCACGUGUAGCGGUGAAAUGCGCAGAUAUUAGGAGGAACACCGGUGGCGAAGGCGCCACUCUGGGCCGAAACUGACGCUGAGGAGCGAAAGCAUGGGUAGCAAACAGG